AGCGAACGCUGGCGGCGUGCUUAACACAUGCAAGUCGAACGGAAAGGCACUGCUUGUGUGGUGUGCUCGAGUGGCGAACGGGGAAGUAACACGUGAGUAACCGGCCCUACACUUUGGGAUGACUUCAGGAAACGGGGGCUAAGACCAUAUAGGAUCUGCUGCUGCAGGGAGGGGGGUGGAAAGUUUCGGCGGUUGGGGCUGGACUCGCGGCUUAUGAGCUUGUUGGUUGGGUAGUGGUUUACCAAGGGUGUGACGGGUAGCCGGCCGGAGAGGGUGACCGGGCACAAUGGGACUGCGAUAGGGACCAGAGUCCUAUGGGAGGCAGCAGUGGGGAAUCUUGCACAAUGGGAGGACGUCUGAUGAAGCAACGUCGCGUGUGGGAUGACGGCCUGCGGGUUGUAAAACGCUUUCGGCUGUGACGCCGCGUGAGUGACGGUAAUGGGUAAAGAAGCACCGGCUAACUACGUG
This 468-nucleotide ribosomal RNA is filed under the name uncultured bacterium. RNAcentral's name for it is "partial 16S ribosomal RNA". It matches the Rfam family "Bacterial small subunit ribosomal RNA", at positions 30 to 507 of the family's 1533-position model. The record is from RNAcentral.